GACGAACGCUGGCGGCGUGCUUAACACAUGCAAGUCGAACGAAGUGGCGAACGGGUGAGUAACGCGUAAUCAACCUGCCCUUCAGAGGGGGACAACAGUUGGAAACGACUGCUAAUACCGCAUACUGAAGGAGGGGAUUGAGUCUGAUUAGCUAGUUGUAGGGGUAACGGCCCACCAAGGCGAUGAUCAUUAGCCGGUCUGAGCGGAUGAAGCGCAACAUUGGGACUGCGAAACGGCCCAGACUCCUACGGGAGGCAGCAGGGGGGAAUCUUACGCAAUGGACGAAAGUCUGACGGAGCAACGCCGCGUGAGUGAUGACGGCCUUCGGGUUGUAAAGCUCUGUUAAUCGGGACGCGGUACCGGAAUAGAAAGCCACGGCUAACUACGUGCCAGCAGCCGCGGUAAUAC
This 408-nucleotide ribosomal RNA is filed under the name uncultured bacterium. RNAcentral's name for it is "partial 16S ribosomal RNA". It matches the Rfam family "Bacterial small subunit ribosomal RNA", at positions 28 to 526 of the family's 1533-position model. The record is from RNAcentral.